RNAcentral lists this ribosomal RNA (253 nucleotides) under uncultured bacterium. RNAcentral's name for it is "partial 16S ribosomal RNA". It matches the Rfam family "Bacterial small subunit ribosomal RNA", at positions 524 to 776 of the family's 1533-position model. The record is from RNAcentral.
UACGUAGGGUGCAAGCAUUAAUCGGAUUUAUUGGGCGUAAAGGGCGCGCAGGCGGUCUUCCAAGUCAGUGGUGAAAGCCCGGAGCUCAACUCCGGAACUGCCAUUGAAACUGUAAGACUUGAGGACGAGAGAGGUGAGUGGAAUUCCCAGUGUAGAGGUGAAAUUCGUAGAUAUUGGGAAGAACACCGGUGGCGAAGGCGGCUCACUGGCUCGUAUCUGACGCUCAGGCGCGACAGCGUGGGGAUCAAACAGG